UGGCUCAGUUGGUAGAGCAUGGUGUUUGCAACGCCAGGGUCGUGGGUUCAAUUCCCAC
This is a non-coding RNA of Salmo salar (Atlantic salmon), 58 nucleotides long. NCBI's taxonomy places the organism in Eukaryota, Metazoa, Chordata, Actinopteri, Salmoniformes, Salmonidae. The record is from Rfam.